This 253-nucleotide ribosomal RNA is filed under the name uncultured bacterium. RNAcentral describes it as "partial 16S ribosomal RNA". It matches the Rfam family "Bacterial small subunit ribosomal RNA", at positions 524 to 776 of the family's 1533-position model. The record is from RNAcentral.
CACGUAGGGCGCAAGCGUUGUCCGGAAUUAUUGGGCGUAAAGAGCUCGUAGGCGGUUUGUCGCGUCUGCUGUGAAAACCCGAGGCUCAACCUCGGGCCUGCAGUGGGUACGGGCAAACUAGAGUGCGGUAGGGGAGAAUGGAAUUCCUGGUGUAGCGGUGGAAUGCGCAGAUAUCAAGAGGAACACCGAUGGCGAAGGCAGUUCUCUGGGCCGUAACUGACGCUGAGGAGCGAAAGCGUGGGGAGCGAACAGG